CUAGAAAUUUCACAGGUCCUACCCAGCAGGCAGUGGGGCCAGGAUUUGGCAGCCGUAACUGAGAGAAAAACCCUUGAUUGUAUUCUUGCCCUGGGGCAGUGUCAGUGGCCAUGGUCACUCAGUGGAAUAGAC
RNAcentral lists this small nucleolar RNA (132 nucleotides) under Erinaceus europaeus (western European hedgehog). RNAcentral's name for it is "Small nucleolar RNA SNORA30/SNORA37 family (ENSEEUG00000019311.1)". The record is from RNAcentral. Lineage: Eukaryota; Metazoa; Chordata; Mammalia; Eulipotyphla; Erinaceidae.